RNAcentral lists this ribosomal RNA (525 nucleotides) under Salmonella enterica. RNAcentral's name for it is "partial 23S ribosomal RNA". It matches the Rfam family "Bacterial large subunit ribosomal RNA", at positions 711 to 1234 of the family's 2925-position model. The record is from RNAcentral. Lineage: Bacteria; Pseudomonadati; Pseudomonadota; Gammaproteobacteria; Enterobacterales; Enterobacteriaceae. RNAcentral also lists the same sequence under 2 other names.
AGACCCGAAACCCGGUGAUCUAGCCAUGGGCAGGUUGAAGGUUGGGUAACACUAACUGGAGGACCGAACCGACUAAUGUUGAAAAAUUAGCGGAUGACCUGUGGCUGGGGGUGAAAGGCCAAUCAAACCGGGAGAUAGCUGGUUCUCCCCGAAAGCUAUUUAGGUAGCGCCUCGUGAAUUCAUCUCCGGGGGUAGAGCACUGUUUCGGCUAGGGGGCCAUCCCGGCUUACCAACCCGAUGCAAACUGCGAAUACCGGAGAAUGUUAUCACGGGAGACACACGGCGGGUGCUAACGUCCGUCGUGAAGAGGGAAACAACCCAGACCGCCAGCUAAGGUCCCAAAGUCAUGGUUAAGUGGGAAACGAUGUGGGAAGGCCCAGACAGCCAGGAUGUUGGCUUAGAAGCAGCCAUCAUUUAAAGAAAGCGUAAUAGCUCACUGGUCGAGUCGGCCUGCGCGGAAGAUGUAACGGGGCUAAACCAUGCACCGAAGCUGCGGCAGCGACACUGUGUGUUGUUGGGUAGGGG